This 24-nucleotide non-coding RNA is filed under the name Arabidopsis thaliana (thale cress). The record is from RNAcentral. Lineage: Eukaryota; Viridiplantae; Streptophyta; Magnoliopsida; Brassicales; Brassicaceae.
UUAAACCAUAACUCAGUCACAGCA